GCGUCCUUAGCUCAAUGGAUAGAGCACCUCGCUUCGGACGAGGGGGUUGCGGGUUCGACUCCUGCAGGACGCGCCA
This 76-nucleotide transfer RNA is filed under the name Candidatus Levybacteria bacterium RIFCSPHIGHO2_02_FULL_37_18. Its description in RNAcentral is "tRNA-Arg". It matches the Rfam family "tRNA". From Rfam's summary of the family: Transfer RNA (tRNA) molecules are approximately 80 nucleotides in length. Their secondary structure includes four short double-helical elements and three loops (D, anti-codon, and T loops). The record is from RNAcentral. Lineage: Bacteria; Candidatus Levyibacteriota. RNAcentral also lists the same sequence under 3 other names.